This is a regulatory RNA element of Sinorhizobium meliloti 1021, 68 nucleotides long. It matches the Rfam family "S-element". From Rfam's summary of the family: This family represents a group of S-elements from p42d and related plasmids. The S-element has multiple functions and is believed to act as a negative regulator of repC transcription, be required for efficient replication and act as a translational enhancer of repC. The record is from Rfam. NCBI's taxonomy places the organism in Bacteria, Pseudomonadati, Pseudomonadota, Alphaproteobacteria, Hyphomicrobiales, Rhizobiaceae.
AGUCAAGAGUCCUUGGCACCGUUUUUGGUGAGCUGCUUUCUUUUGCCUUAUCGAAGGUGAAGGAAAUG